RNAcentral lists this ribosomal RNA (494 nucleotides) under uncultured bacterium. Its description in RNAcentral is "partial 16S ribosomal RNA". It matches the Rfam family "Bacterial small subunit ribosomal RNA", at positions 28 to 507 of the family's 1533-position model. The record is from RNAcentral.
GACGAACGCUGGCGGCGUGCUUAACACAUGCAAGUCGAACGGAAAGGCCUGCUUUCCCUUGUGGAUUGCGGGUACUCGAGUGGCGAACGGGUGAGUAACACGUGAGUGAUCUGCCCCCAACUUGUGUAUAAGCCUGGGAAACUGGGUCUAAUUCCCGAUAGGACUGCAGGGUGGUGCCUUUGGUGGAAAACGAUGUUCUAGUGGUUGGGGAUGAGCUCGCGGCCUAUCAGCUUGUUGGUGGGGUAAUGGACUACCAAGGCGGCGACGGGUAGCCGGCCUGAGAGGGUGGACGGCGACAUUGGGAGUGAGAUACGGACCAGACUCCUACGGGAGGCAGGAGUGGGGAAUAUGGCACAAUGGGCGGAAGCCUGAUGCAGCGACGCCGCGUGGGGGAUGUCGGCCUUCGGGUUGUAAACUCCUUUCGACCGCGAGGAAGCCACCUGGUUGGAAGGGUGGUGACGGUAGCGGUAGAAGAAGCACCGGCUAACUACGUG